Ictidomys tridecemlineatus (thirteen-lined ground squirrel) is the source of this 3013-nucleotide non-coding RNA. The record is from RefSeq and is a predicted model, not a curated record. Lineage: Eukaryota; Metazoa; Chordata; Mammalia; Rodentia; Sciuridae.
AAACAAACAACAACAACAACAAAUAAAAAGAACACGCCCCCUCCCCCGCCCCCGCCUCUUAAGUCAUUGUGGUCUGAACCUAUAAACUUCUGAAAAUCUGUGACCUUCAACUCUUACCUCUCUCCCUGUCAUUCUGACUCUCCAGGCAUUCUGACCUUUCCCCUACUUUGUUCUGUUCCUUUCUACCCUAGGCCUUUGCACACAUCACUUUUUUUCUGUCUAAAAAACUUUUAUCUUCUUCCCUACUCCUAGAAAGACCCAGUUAACCCUACUUACUUUAAUUCACAUUUGACACAAUUAUCAUUUUCCUUAGAGAGGCCUUCCCUGAUUUUCCACCUUCAAAUAUCUCCUUAUUUUGUACUCCCACAACUUGCCCUAGGGAACUUACUCUCCUAAUACCAUGGUGAAUAAUGAUAUAUCUAUGUGAUUAUUGUGUAAAGGUUUAUCACUCUCACAGACUGGAGACCUUUAUGAGAGGAGGGUCCUUAUCUACUUGUGAUUAUCCAUGAUUCCCCAGCACCUUGCCUAGUGAGGGCUUGAUAAGUACUUGCUGAAUGAAUGAGCUUAUGAAUCAAGUCAGAAGGUCCGUCUUUGAACCCUGGCUAUGUGACCUUGGAGUGCUCAAUAUACUUACACAUUUAUCUAUAUGGAAACGGAGAACCAAAGACUUGAAAACCCUGGAAAAGGAAGUAGGAUGCUUAGAACCGAGACCAAGAUCUGGGGUCUCUCUCCCCAGGCCCCAACCAGCACCUCAGAGGAGCUGAAGGCUCCUGGGACUGUUUUGGGGAACUGGACAAAAGACAGGCUGAGGAGAAGGAAAUGCACUGCGUUCCCACCGCCUCUUGCCAGCCUUGAUCGACACCAAAGACGCCGGUAAUCUCUCUCUGGCCCGAGGGGAGCAGCAGCGUUUGUGAAACAGAUUUUUACAAAAUGUUUUGACCCUGCUCUCCCCUCCCCCCGCAUCCCUGCCUGGCACCGUGUCACCUAAUUAAAUCAGCCUUCGCAGGCGUCUCCGCUCCCUGCUAAUUGUGCCCUGGGCCGGCUUCCGGAGGCCGCUCUCCCCACCCCCAAACCACCACCCCCUACUUCCGAGGACAGUGGGGCUCCACGGGGGCCGGAGGUCCCCAGGGGACCUCCCGUGGCGAUUUCCGCAGGCCUCCCUCUGACUGUUCUGCAUCCCGGGACACUGAGGCCCAGGCUCUAGCCCUCCGCUGGGCCGGGCUUCUGCCCUAGGACCCGGGUCCAGGUCUGAAAUGACCCGGGGCCUUGGGGAGGCCAGCCCGAGCGUAGCCGAGUAAUUGUCUCCGCCAGAAGAGGAGCCGGAGCAGACGGCUCGGAAAAGCCCGGAUUUCUUUCCCCUUCACCGGCUGCGCGAGGCCGGCCGGAAGCCGGGCGGUUUUAUUUACAGUUCCUCCCGCGAGCGCGCGCCGAGCGCGGGCUGCGAGGGCGCCGGCCGCGUCGCCUCUGUCCAGGGUGCUGAACGGCCGCGGAGCCGGCCGCUCUUCUGCGUCUGCUACGAUAAUGACAAUAGCUAAGACCACUACUGGAGACUCUUACUCACCAUUACCAGGAGCCACCAAGAGUUAAAAGCUUCCAAGCUCUGCAUAAUUUAAUCCUAGCAGCAACCCUGGGAAGAGAGGUUUCCUCACUUUAAAGAUGAGAAAGCUGAGACAGAAGAGUUGGAGUUGGUGAUGGUGAAGGGAGAGUUUCACUUCGUCUCAACUGUCUGAUUUCUUGUUUCUUUCUUUUCUUUUCUUUUCUUUUUUUUUUUUACAACCAAGAAUAUGUUCAUAUAUUACUUGUGCUUUAAAGAUAAGCUUUUAAAAAAAGCCAAUAUCUUUUCUCAAUGACAGAAAAUUUCUGGACAAAUAGCACAGAUUUUUCAAAGGGAAAAGUGAUUCACUCAAACUUUAAAAAGAGGAAGAGAGGCAGGGAAAACAAUCAUAUGCAUUGUCGGAUGACUUUGUUUGCUUCCCUGCUUGAACAAACCUUAUGAGGGGGAAAAAAAAAGAUGAGGAUGAACUGAGAAUUUGAUGUUAUUAGAGAUGAUUGACAAUUUUGUUAGGUGUAAUUAUGAUAUUGUGGUUAUAGAUUUUUUAAAAGUCUGUAGUUGUUAAGUCUUUGUCUUAAAAAGAGACAUUAAAUGACUUACACCAGGUUACUUAAGAGCCUCAUUUUCUCAACUACUCUGAUAGCUCACCACAGGCAGAUACCACAUGUCUAUAACUUCAUAUGUUAUUAGACCUGUCUACAGGCUUUAUUUUACUUUCUAUCAGGGAUUAACUCAAGGCCACUUUGCCACUGAGAUAUAGUCCCAGUUUUUCUUUAUUUUUUAUUUUGAGACAAAGUCUUGCUUAGUUGCUGAGGUUGACCUUGCACUUCCAAUUCUCUGGCCUCAACUUCUCAAAUGGCUGGAAUUACAGGUGUGCACCACUAUGUCUGGCUGUCUACAUGUUUGUGUGGCCAUCACUGCCUGGAUUGGUAUUAGUUCUGGUAUUAUAUCUCUGUGAGAAUGCAGCUGGCAAAUUUUAAGUGCCUACUAUAUGACAGACUUUAUUUAAUGAUAUCUUACAACAUUUUAAACCCAGCAAUCCUGAGAGGGAGGAAUUACUAUUCCAGUAUUACAAAUGCAGGAAUGGAGACAGAGAAAGUUAAUUUGCCCGUGGUCUUAUAGUUAGUAAAGGAUGGAACUGGAACCCAGGUAUUUCGACUCUACUCCCUAAUGUUCUUGUUAAUUGAUUAAACCACAGUAGCCUUAUUAGUGUGUGUAAGACUUGUGCUUGAGUAUGACUUCAUCUAGUGGGUGGAAGAAAGGAACUGUGUAUGUAGUCACAGCAGGGACCCUCUUCUUGUGAUGCACUGGGUUGAGAGAUACAGGAAAUUGCAGAUCAGUGAGGAAGGUUGAUUUGAAAUGAACCAAUCAAUGGAAAUGAUGAUGUCCACUAAAGAUUUACAUGACCUGAAGAAUUUAUCUGGUGACAAAAUGCAAUUAAAUUUGAUUUUGAAGUUAGAA